RNAcentral lists this ribosomal RNA (443 nucleotides) under uncultured bacterium. RNAcentral describes it as "partial 16S ribosomal RNA". It matches the Rfam family "Bacterial small subunit ribosomal RNA", at positions 338 to 795 of the family's 1533-position model. The record is from RNAcentral.
CCUACGGGAGGCAGCAGUGGGGAAUAUUGGGCAAUGGAGGCAACUCUGACCCAGCAACGCCGCGUGAAUGAUGAAGGUCUUCGGAUUGUAAAGUUCUGUGAUGGGGGAUGAACACAAUGACGGUACCCCAAUAGCAAGCCACGGCUAACUACGUGCCAGCAGCCGCGGUAAUACGUAGGUGGCAAGCGUUAUCCGGAAUGACUGGGCGUAAAGGGGGCGUAGGUGGUUUAGUAAGUUGGCGGUGUAAUUCCGGGGCUCAACCUCGGCGCUACCGCCAAAACUAUUAGGCUAGAGUGCAGGUGGGGUAAGUGGAAUUCCUAGUGUAGCGGUGGAAUGCGUAGAUAUUAGGAGGAACAUCAGGGGCGAAGGCGACUUACUGGACUGUAACUGACACUGAGGCACGAAGGCGUGGGGAGCAAACAGGAUUAGAUACCCUGGUAGUC